This 72-nucleotide transfer RNA is filed under the name Fukomys damarensis (Damara mole-rat). It matches the Rfam family "tRNA". From Rfam's summary of the family: Transfer RNA (tRNA) molecules are approximately 80 nucleotides in length. Their secondary structure includes four short double-helical elements and three loops (D, anti-codon, and T loops). The record is from Rfam by way of RNAcentral. Lineage: Eukaryota; Metazoa; Chordata; Mammalia; Rodentia; Bathyergidae.
GAAGAUGUGGCUCAGUGGUAGAGCAUUUGCCCUAGUAUUUAGAGGUCUUGGGUUUAAAGCCCAGCAUCACCA